CAAGUACAUUAAAACUUGUCUUUCACUCUCCUUCUCUCCCACUUCUCUGUCUCUCUCAUAAAGAGAACUCUUCAACUCCAAAGAUCCAUUUUUGUUUUCUCUUCUGCCACAACCUCAAAGCUAUUCAUUUUUCAUCUUGAGGCAAGUUAUGUUGGUUCUCUCAUUGUUAGGUGCAUAUUGUCAUAACUUUAUUGUGCAUAAAGUUGAUUUUUUUUUAUAAUUCUAAAAGCUUAAACAAUUAAUAUAUUUAGUUAUAGAAAAUGUAUAUUUUUUUGGCUCCUAAAUAAUUGAUUUUGGGUUAUUUAAUUUCUUGAUUCAAGUAUAUUUGAACCAUUGUGGUUAUUUUAAAAUUGGGUUGUUACAUUUGGUAUUGUAACUUAUCUGAAAAUUAAUUUCAAUGGAAAAUGCAAAUUUUUAUUUAAAUUCAUAGUGUUUGAUUUUUUUAGAAAGAUUUGUAGUCGAUUAAUAGUCAUUUUAAGUGGCUUUAGCAUAUCUUAAUAUUUAUUUUAAUUAAUUUUGGUUGCCUUGUAUAGAUUUUUUGAAAUAGUAGCCUUAUUGAUUUCUUUAUUGUUAGGAAGGCUUAUAGUUGAUUAAUUGAGCCUACGAUAGACUAAUGUCAUUUUGAUAAUCUGUUGUAUUUUUUUAAUGUAGAUCAUAAACAUAGCUAGAAGUAGUAAAGGAAAUUUAAGAAAUGGUAAGAAAAGAAGUGUUGAAGAACUUAGAAGAGAGACUAAAAGGAAAAAAGUUUUAGAAGCUGAAAAUGGGUCACUCUCCGAAUCUAUGCAAAAUGAUAUCGACUAAUAUGAUGAUGAUUAGCCUAGUGGUGAAGUUGAUAAGGUCAUUAGUAAAUGUGGUAGUGGUGGUGUAGAUAGUGGUAAUUUCAGUGGAGAUAGGAUAGUGAGAAGGCCAAUGAUGAUGAUGAUGAUGAUAGUAAUCGUCAUGAAGAUGAUGGUAAUGAGGAUGAAGAUCCUCUGUCCAUCCCAGAGUGUUCAAGGUUUUUUGAUGUAAACAAGUAUGAUUGAGGUAUCUGGAUAGAUGAUGUAGGAUAAUUUUUGGUGAAAAUAUUAGUUAGGUCUAGAAUGACAAUGUUUUCUUAAUUUUUAAAAGUUCUAGAAUAUCAAAAAAUUAAAUGUAGGUUCAAGCACUCUUGCUUUAUUUAGUUUAGAAAUCCACUACGAUAUAUGAAAUUCAAUGGACAGAUGGUCUAUUGUAUGUGUGUUCCUCGUAUCCACAUGAUUCAAAAUAGAUAAAGAAAUAUAAGGACGAUGAAAACUUUUAUAAAAAAGUUAGUCAAAACAAGAAGGUGACUGGAACAACCCUUUUGUCCCUGAUCAAAAGCAGUAGGCUAAACAAUUCAGAGAAUCUUAAAUGUUGUUGCGUGUUAUUCUUGCAUGUUAUGUUACUUGGAAGAGAUGUUUCUAAGGUGGUGGACUCAAAUUUUGUAAAAAUGAUGGAUGAUCUGGAGUUUUUUUGAGUCAUAUCCUUAGGUAAAGGAGUCCAUUGCACUCACAUUAGAGUAAUUAAAGGACAAAAUCAACAUGACCAAUUUAAAAGGUAUACAUCUUGAGGAGACAAUAUCAUAAUCUCUUUUUGUAUUUUCGUGGAACCUUAUGGUAUAUUAUCAAUUGGUCAUUCAGGCAAUUAUAGACAUUAAUUUACAAUUAUUAUUGAUUAUUUAAUUAUUUUGUGAUUGUAUUUUUGUAUAAAUGAAGUCAUUUUAAAUGUUGGGUUCCCUUACCCAUCUCUCGAAUGUUGAGAUGGCGUUACAAAAAUAUAGGUAGAUUUUUGAAGGUAUCCAUUUAGGACUCAAGCGAGAUCUUUAAAGGUAACAAUUUUUUUUGUUAAUUCUACUUCUAAACUUAAAAUUGUAGGUAAUAGUUGAUAUUUUUCUAUUUGUAGACUGUGCAUCUUUAUCUUACCCCCUACUAUACAUGACAUGAAGGAAACUUACAAGAAAAUACCCUUGCCAUAUGAGGUUGAGGUAAGGAGUAGGUUCAUUGAUGACAUAAAGCAUGAACUGAGAUAUAUCACAGUCUUUGAGUCAUCACCAGUGAAUUUGAUGAGGGAGCCACAUUAUAAUGCGGAUGUUAAUAUUGGGGAAAUAAGAAAUAUCAAUGGUUAUGAGGGGCCAAGUAAUAAGGUAUCAUAGUAAUCACCUAAAUUGAGAGUUAGGGAUGAGAAAAUAUUUUAGUGUCUCUCAUUGAUCGAUCGUGAUUUGGAGAUUAUAGUGGAGUAUGUGAGGAAGUAAGAAGAGAAAGGUGCAUAAUUUUAAUUUAUUUUUCUUAUUUGAUUUUACAAUGGUGCUAUGUCAUCAAUCAAGCCUAAAAAUAUAGAAAAAUCAGAGGUGAACAACUCCCCACGGAAUGAAGAAGCUGCCUAGACCGUUGCAUGGACCCUCGUGCAUGCCUUUGCUAUAAUUUAGGAGCAGACUGAGGUCCAUAAUCAAGUUAUCAAUAUAGGUGAAGAGGAGGAGAAAACUAGGAAAAUGAUAGAUAAACUCUUAGUUGGUGAUGUUGUACAAAAAGAGGAUGACACCAAUGUGAUACUUGAUAAGUAUAAUGGUGAAGAUGCCAAGACAGAUAAGGUCCCAGCUGAAAAAGCUUCUUAAAAUGCAGAUGUAACUAAUGAAGCUGAGGAGACAAUGGAGAAAAAAAUGGUGAAAUCCACGCUCGAGAUGCCAAGAAUGAUAAAUUCACCACUCAAGAUGAUGCUAAGGAUGAUGAACUCCCCACUCUAGAUUAUGUAAAAAAUAAAAAUCAGGUCUUCGAAGAUGCCAAGAAUGAUGUUUUUGUCCAUGAUACUGAUGAUAUUAAAAAAGUUGUUAAAGAUGAUAAUGCUGGUGUGAUGGAUAUUAUUGAGGAGAUCAACGGUGAAAAGAUAAUUCAAUUUUUAAUGGUUGGGAUGACAUGUUAGGUAAUUAAUUUUUUAUGAUUUUCAAUAUAAUUUUUCAGAGACAUUUAAUAUUUUACGCUUGAAAGUUUUAUGAAUAUGAUAAUUGUAAUUAAUGAAUAUUUGGAUAUGGA
RNAcentral lists this long non-coding RNA (3023 nucleotides) under Capsicum annuum. RNAcentral's name for it is "long non-coding RNA (CANN_LNC020359)". The record is from RNAcentral. Lineage: Eukaryota; Viridiplantae; Streptophyta; Magnoliopsida; Solanales; Solanaceae.